This 252-nucleotide ribosomal RNA is filed under the name uncultured bacterium. Its description in RNAcentral is "partial 16S ribosomal RNA". It matches the Rfam family "Bacterial small subunit ribosomal RNA", at positions 524 to 776 of the family's 1533-position model. The record is from RNAcentral.
GACGAACCGUGCGAACGUUGUUCGGAAUCACUGGGCUUAAAGGGCGCGUAGGCGGCCGGGUUGGUCGUGGGUGAAAUCCCCAGCUUAACUGGGGAACUGCCUACGAUACUGCCUGGCUCGAGGGAGGAAGGGGCGGUCGGAACUGUCGGUGGAGCGGUGAAAUGCGUUGAUAUCGACAGGAACGCCGGUGGCGAAAGCGGACCGCUGGCCCUCUUCUGACGCUGAGGCGCGAAAGCCAGGGGAGCGAACGGG